ACUUCUAAAGGAUAGUAGAAAUCCACUGGUCUUAGGAGCCAACAACCUUGGUGCAAGUCCAAGUAGAAGUA
This 71-nucleotide transfer RNA is filed under the name Phoeniculus purpureus (green woodhoopoe). RNAcentral's name for it is "tRNA-Leu". It matches the Rfam family "tRNA". Rfam says of the family: Transfer RNA (tRNA) molecules are approximately 80 nucleotides in length. Their secondary structure includes four short double-helical elements and three loops (D, anti-codon, and T loops). Further hydrogen bonds mediate the characteristic L-shaped molecular structure. tRNAs have two regions of fundamental functional importance: the anti-codon, which is responsible for specific mRNA codon recognition, and the 3' end, to which the tRNAs corresponding amino acid is attached (by aminoacyl-tRNA synthetases). tRNAs cope with the degeneracy of the genetic code in two manners: having more than one tRNA (with a specific anti-codon) for a particular amino acid; and 'wobble' base-pairing, i.e. permitting non-standard base-pairing at the 3rd anti-codon position. Lineage: Eukaryota; Metazoa; Chordata; Aves; Bucerotiformes; Phoeniculidae. The record is from RNAcentral.